AACGUAGGACGCAAGCAUUAUCCGGAAUUACUGGGCGUAAAGAGCACGCAGGCGGUCUGAUAAGUCUAUUAUGAAAGCUCUAGGCUAAACUUGGAGAGGCUAGUAGAUACUGUCGGACUUGAGUGGAGAAGAGGGGUAUAGAAUUCCGCGUGUAGUGGUGAAAUGCGUAGAUAUGCGGAGGAAUACCAGUGGCGAAGGCGAUACUCUGGUCUCUAACUGACGCUGAGGUGCGAAAGCAUGGGUAGCGAACGGG
RNAcentral lists this ribosomal RNA (253 nucleotides) under uncultured bacterium. Its description in RNAcentral is "partial 16S ribosomal RNA". It matches the Rfam family "Bacterial small subunit ribosomal RNA", at positions 524 to 776 of the family's 1533-position model. The record is from RNAcentral.